CUACGGGUCGCACCAGUGGGGAAUAUUGCACAAUGGGCGCAAGCCUGAUGCAGCCAUGCCGCGUGUAUGAAGAAGGCCUUCGGGUUGUAAAGUACUUUCAGCGGGGAGGAAGGGAGUAAAGUUAAUACCUUUGCUCAUUGACGUUACCCGCAGAAGAAGCACCGGCUAACUCCGUGCCAGCAGCCGCGGUAAUACGGAGGGUGCAAGCGUUAAUCGGAAUUACUGGGCGUAAAGCGCACGCAGGCGGUUUGUUAAGUCAGAUGUGAAAUCCCCGGGCUCAACCUGGGAACUGCAUCCGAUACUGGCAAGCUUGAGUCUCGUAGAGGGGGGUAGAAUUCCAGGUGUAGCGGUGAGAUGCGUAGAGAUCUGGAGGAAUACCGGUGGCGAAGGCGGCCCCCUGGACGAAGACUGACGCUCAGGUGCGAAAGUGUGGGGAGCAAACAGGAUUAGAUACCCUUGUAGUC
This 464-nucleotide ribosomal RNA is filed under the name uncultured bacterium. RNAcentral describes it as "partial 16S ribosomal RNA". It matches the Rfam family "Bacterial small subunit ribosomal RNA", at positions 339 to 795 of the family's 1533-position model. The record is from RNAcentral.